Molecule: non-coding RNA, 53 nt
Filed under: Spinacia oleracea (spinach)
Lineage: Eukaryota; Viridiplantae; Streptophyta; Magnoliopsida; Caryophyllales; Amaranthaceae
Description: Guanidine-II sequence
Rfam family: Guanidine-II riboswitch aptamer (mini-ykkC)
About the family: Simpler in structure and has fewer highly conserved nucleotide positions than the ykkC-yxkD leader. Despite this each of its two stem-loop structures directly bind free guanidine.
Source: RNAcentral
UCGCGGGGACGACCCCGCGACGCUUUCAAGCGCCUAAUCCGGGGACGACCCCA